UACGAGGGGGGCUAGCGUUGCUCGGAAUCACUGGGCGUAAAGGGUGCGUAGGCGGGUUUUUAAGUCAGAGGUGAAAUCCUGGAGCUCAACUCCAGAACUGCCUUUGAUACUGAGAAUCUUGAGUACGGGAGAGGUGAGUGGAACUGCGAGUGUAGAGGUGAAAUUCGUAGAUAUUCGCAAGAACACCAGUGGCGAAGGCGGCUCACUGGCCCGUUACUGACGCUGAGGCACGAAAGCGUGGGGAGCAAACAGG
RNAcentral lists this ribosomal RNA (253 nucleotides) under uncultured bacterium. RNAcentral's name for it is "partial 16S ribosomal RNA". It matches the Rfam family "Bacterial small subunit ribosomal RNA", at positions 524 to 776 of the family's 1533-position model. The record is from RNAcentral.